RNAcentral lists this ribosomal RNA (261 nucleotides) under uncultured bacterium. Its description in RNAcentral is "partial 16S ribosomal RNA". It matches the Rfam family "Bacterial small subunit ribosomal RNA", at positions 1240 to 1500 of the family's 1533-position model. The record is from RNAcentral.
CAACGAGUCGCAAGACCGCGAGGUUUAGCAAAUCUCUUAAAGCCGUUCUCAGUUCGGAUUGUAGGCUGCAACUCGCCUACAUGAAGUCGGAAUCGCUAGUAAUCGCGGAUCAGCAUGCCGCGGUGAAUACGUUCCCGGGCCUUGUACACACCGCCCGUCACACCAUGAGAGUUUGUAACACCCAAAGCCGGUGGGGUAACCUUUUGGAGCCAGCCGUCUAAGGUGGGACAGAUGAUUAGGGUGAAGUCGUAACAAGGUAUC